Molecule: ribosomal RNA, 670 nt
Filed under: uncultured Alphaproteobacteria bacterium
Lineage: Bacteria; Pseudomonadati; Pseudomonadota; Alphaproteobacteria
Description: bacterial SSU rRNA
Rfam family: Bacterial small subunit ribosomal RNA
Source: RNAcentral
GAACGAAGUAGCAAUACUUAGUGGCAGACGGGUGAGUAACAUGUAGGUAUCUUCCCUUUGGUGAGGAAUAACACGAGGAAACUUGUGCUAAUACCUCAUAAGUCUUUACGGAGAAAGCUUUAUGCGCCAAUGGAUGAGCCUGCACUUGAUUAGUUCGUUGGUAGGGUAAUGGCCUACCAAGACAAUGAUCAAUAGCUGAUUUGAGAGGAUGAUCAGCCACAUUGGGACUGAGACACGGCCCAAACUCCUACGGGAGGCAGCAGUAGGGAAUCUUGCACAAUGGGGGAAACCCUGAUGCAGCGAUGCCGCGUGAGUGAAGAAGGCCUUUGGGUUGUAAAGCUCUUUCGUCGGGGAAGAAAAUGACUGUACCCGAAUAAGAAGGUCCGGCUAACUUCGUGCCAGCAGCCGCGGUAAUACGAAGGGACCUAGCGUAGUUCGGAAUUACUGGGCUUAAAGAGUUCGUAGGUUGUUAAAAAAGUUGGUGGUGAAAUCCCAGGGCUUAACUCUGGAACUGCCAUCAAAACUUUUUAGCUAGGGUAUGAUAGAGGAAAGCAGAAUUUCUAGUGUAGAGGUGAAAUUCGUAGAUAUUAGAAAGAAUACCAAUUGCGAAGGCAGCUUUCUGGAUCAUUACUGACACUGAGGAACGAAAGCAUGGGUAGCGAAGAGGAUU